Molecule: long non-coding RNA, 14743 nt
Organism: Felis catus (domestic cat)
Lineage: Eukaryota; Metazoa; Chordata; Mammalia; Carnivora; Felidae
Exons: 3
Source: RefSeq, a predicted model, not a curated record
CCCCAAAAAAAUAAUAAAAUAAAUAAAAAAUAAAAAAAUAAAAAAAAAGAAACAGUUUAAUUUUUUUAGGGUAGCAUUAGGUCCACAGCAAAAUUGAGAGGCAGGUACAGAUUCCCAUGUCUCCCUGCCCCGUGCACACCCCCCCCACCCCCCCUGCCGUUAUCAACCUCCUCUGCCAGCUGAGCCAUUCAUUACUUCUCAACCUACGACGACAGCUCAUCACGGAGGCCACGGUUUGCCCUAGGGUUUGCUCCUGGUGGUGGACGUUCGGUGGGCUUGCUGUUGGACAAGGGUAUAAUAGAAUGUAUCCACCACGACGGGGCCGCACACAGUAUUCUCACGCCCGUAAGAAUCCCCUGUUCAUCCUCACCGAGCCCUGGCAACACUGAUCCUUUGCUGUCUCCUUGGUUUUGCCUUGUCCGGAUGCCAUACGGUUGGAAUCAUGCGGCCCGUGGCCUUUCCAGGGCGGCUGCUCUCACUUAGUGAUACGCAUCCAAGGUUCUUCCGCGUCUCUUCGGGGCUUGACGGCUCACUUCCUUUUCUUUCCCAGCCUUACGGAGUUAUAGUCGGCAUUGUGUGAGUUUAAGGUGAAUGUGUGUUGAUGCGGAACUUUGAUGGAGGUGUCAGCUUUUGCAUUACAUUCACAUAAUUAGCAUUAUUUGUGGUGAAAACAGUCAAGAUUUACUCUCUUCCAGCUUGCAAGUUUACUCUGUAGUAUUAACUAUAAUUGCCAUGCUGUACCUCAGAUCCCCAGAAUUUACCUUCUAACUGGAAGUCUGGCCCUUUGACCAACUUCUCCCUACUUCCCCCAGCCCCCGAGCCUCUGAUAACCACCAUUCUUUCUCUGAGUUCACUCUGCCUCUGAGUUAUUUUUUGUUUGUAAGAUUCCACAUAUGAGUGAGAUCAUACAGUAUUUGUUUUUCUCUGACCUUUUUUUUUUUUUUAGCUUAAUGCCCUCAGGGCCCAUCCAUGUUGUUGAAAAUGGCAGCAUUUUCUUCUUUUCUUGAGGCUGAACUCCAUUGUCCACACAUCUUUGUCCACUCACCCGCCCGUGGACACUUAGGCUGUUAACGUGUCUUGACUGUUGCGAAUAAUGCUUCAGUGAACGUGGGAGUGGAGACACUUCUCUGAGACCGUGUUUCAUUCCCUCUGGAAAUACACCCAGAAGUGGACCGUUGGACCAUAGGGUAGUUCAGUUGUUAACAUUCCGAGGAGGCCCCAUGCUGUUUUCCAUGGCAACCCUAGUGAUUUCAUUUCCCACCAGCAGUGCACCAAGGCUCCCUUCUCUCCGCAUCCUCACCGACAUUUGUUAUCUCCACUGGUUUUGACGAUGACCAUCCUAACAGGUGUGAGGUGAUGUCUCGUUGUGGGUUUGACUUGCAUUUCCCUGAUGCUGAGUGAUGCUGAGCAUCUUUUCACGUACCUGCUGGCCAUCUGGAUGUUUUCUUGGAGAAAACAUUUAUUCACUUCUUUUGCCCAGUUUUAAAUUGACUGUUUUGGGUUUGAGUUGUAGGAGUUCUUUAUAUAUAUUAACACCCCCUUAUCAGAUAUCUGAUUCAUGAAUGUUUUUUUUUCAUUCUGUAGGUUGUCUUUGAUUUUGUGGAUUUUCAUUUGCUGCACACAGCUUUUCAAUUUGUUGUAAUCCCGCUUAUUAAUUUUCACUUUUGUUGCUUGUGAUUUUAGUUUCCUAGACAAAGCAUCAUUACCAAGACCAAUGUCAGGGUGCUUCUUCACUGUGUUCCCUUCUGUCGUAGACUCUGGGUCUGGAGUUCUCUCUUGUCCAGCAAGAGAGUGGACGCAGGAUUGAAAUGUGAGAGAGGCUAAUGUCCGGGAGGAGACAAGAGACUUGAGUAAAGGUUCUUGCUCCAUUUUUAUUAGGUUCAGAAGGCUUACAAGCGUAAUGGACGUGCACAGAGAGACAAUAAAACCAUGAAUGGUAACUCAUAGAUAUGAGGGAAAGAGGGUUUUGAAGGUAUGCGGUCUUAGGGGUUUGGGUCAAUACAAAACAAAGUCUGGUGCUGGGCAGAUGGUUGUUUGCAGCAGGCAUGAGGCACCACAUCUGUUUAUCUUAGCUAGCUUGGGGGAUGAGAGGGAGAUGCUACCUCAGGGUCAACAAGGCGCCUUUCUGUCACUAAUUAGCUCCUCUCUGGGCAACUUCAUACCGUAGAGGUCUAAAGUCCUAUUUACCUGUUUACCUAUUUUGGUCCUUCCUUCCUGUGAAAGCGGCUUUCUGCUGUUGUACUAAGUUGGGAAGCAUUUCCGCCCUGCAUACCUAAUCUUGUUUACCUCAUCUUGGAGGUUUUCAUCCUGAGAUUUCUUAUUCCUAUACCUUUGUCCUAUACUGGCAGCCUUUGCCCUGUUUACCUCAUCUUGGACGCAUACAUCCUGUGGCUUUCUACUUCUUUAUGCCUUAUUGACCCAUUGGUGCAAGCUCAGGGGAUCCCUAAGCCUGUUCCCCACACCCUUCCGGAAGGUUUCCGUGGUUUCAGGUAUUCUGCAUCACUAAUCAGCUUCACAUUAUUUGGUGGAUGGUGUAAGCUAGGGGUCCAGUUUUGUUCUUGUUCACGAGGCUAGACAGCUUUCCCAACACGGUUGAUUGAAGAGACCAGCCUUUUCCCAUUGAGUAACCUUGGUUCUUCUGUCAAAUAUGAGUUGACUGUAUAUGCAAGGGUGUGUUUCGGUGCUCUGUUCCAUUCCAUUAUUGGUCGGUGUGUUGAAUUUUAGAUCAGUGCCAUGUUUUAAUCACUACAGCUUUGUAUUUUAACUUGAAAUCAGGAAGUGUGAUGCCUUCAGGUCUGUUCUUUUCUCAGGAUUGUCUUGACUCUUAAGGGUCUUUUGUGCUUCCAUAUGUUUACGGAUUUUUUUUUCUAUUUAUGUGAAAAAUGACAUUCAAAUUUUGAUAGGGAUGGCCUUAUAGAUGGCUUUGUGUGGUAUGGCCAUUUUAACAACAGUAAUUUUUCUGAUCCACGAACACAGAACAUCUUUCCAUUUGUGUCUUUUUCAGUUUCCUCCUGGGUCUUACAGUUUUCAUUGUGCAGAACUUUCACCUCCUUGGCUAAAUUUAUUCCUAAAUAUUUUCUUGGUUUUGGUGCCAUUGUGAAUGGGAUACUUCUCUUUAUUUGCUUUUUGGAUAUUUCAUUGGUAGUGUCUAGAAACACAGCUGAUUUCUGUGGGUUGAUUUUGUAUCUGGAAACUUAAUUCACUGGUUCUAAUUUUUUUUGUUGGAGUCCUUCAGAUCUUUUGUGUUUCAGAGCAUAUCGUCUAUAAAGACAAUUUUACUUCUUUUUCAAUUUGGAUGCCUUUUAUUUCUUUUUCUUGCCAGACUGCUCUGGUUGAGAGUUCCAGUGCUGUGUUGAACAGGAGUGUGAGAGUGGGCAUCCUGUCCUGACGGUAGAGGAAAAGCUUUAACCUUCACUAUUGAGUAUGAUGUUCACCGUCGGCUUGUCGUAGGUCACCUGUAUUAUGUUGAGGUAUGUUCUGUACCCAGUUUGUUGAGGGAUUUUAUCAUGAAAGGAUAUUGUAUUGUGCCAAAUGUGUUUUCUGCAUCUGUUGAUAUGAUUGUAUGGUUUUUAUCUUCAUUCUUUUAACGUGCAGCUUCAGGUUUAUUGGUUUGUGUAUGUUGAACCCAUCCUGGCAUCCCAGGGAUGAAUCAUAGUAUAUCAUAAUGUCUGAUCCUUUUAGUUGUGCUGAUGGAUUCAGUUUGCUAAUAUUUUGUUGAGACUUUUUGCAUCUGUGUUUAUUAGGAAUAUUGGUCUGUAGUUUUCUUUCCUUAUAUUAUCCUUACUUGCCUUUAGCCAGGUAAUGCUGGCCUUGUAAAAUGAGUUUGGGAGUGUUUUCUCCUCUUGAAGUUUUUGCAAGAAUUUGAGAAAGACUGGUGUUGAUUUCUCUUCAAAUGUUUGGUAGAAUUCACCAGGAAAGUCAUCUGGUCCCGGGCUUUUCUGUGUUGAUAGGUUUUUGGUCACUGAUUAAAUCUCUUCUUAUUGGUCUGUUCCUGUUUUUUAAUUCAUUUUGAUUCAAUCUUGGUAGGUUGUGUGUAUCUAGGAAUUUGUCCAUACUUCUAGGUUAUCUAGUUUGGUGGUUUCCAAUUAUUCGUAGCAGUCUCUUAGGAUCCUUUUUAUUAUUGAGGUAUCUAUCGUAAUGUCUCUCCAUUUCUGAUUUUGAGUCUUAGCAUCACUAAAUAUUUGUCAAUUUUGUUUAUCUUCGUUAAUUUUCAUUGUUGGGGGGGACAAAAACAAGGGCUGUCUUAGGCCGCCAUGGUGACAUACCUUCAAACUCAUUUCUUUUUAUCACCGAACAAUAUUCCAUUUUCUGUAUGUUCCACAGUUUACCUGUUCACUUGCUGAAGAACAUCUUUGUUGCUUCUAAGGCGAGGCAGUUAUGACUAAAGAUGCUAUAAUUGUGUGCAGGUUUUGUGUGGACAUAAAUUUUCAACUCCAGUGGGUAGAUACCAGGGAGCUUGCUGGACUUAGGCCAAGACUGUGCUUAGUUUUUUAAGAAACCACCAAACUGUCUUCCAGAGUGGUUGCACCAUUUUGCAUCCCUGCCAGCCAUGAGCAAGAGUUCUGGCUUCGCCAUGUCCUCUCCAGAAAUUGGUGUUGUCUGUGAUCUGUGCUUUCUGGACUUGGGCUGUUCUGCAGGUGCCUAGUGAUAUGUGUUUAUUUGCUUUUCUCUGACGGAUGAUGCGGGGCAUUUUUUUAAAUGCUUAUUUGCCAUCAGUCUGUCUCCUUUGGUGAGGUGUCUCUUCUAGUCAGUGACCCAUUUUUUCAUUGGGUUGUUUGUGACCGUUGAGUUUCAAGAAGUCUUUGUAUAUGUAUCUUGGUGACAAAAUCCCGUGUCCGGGGUGGUUUUCCUUCCCCAUGUGACAGUGUUCUUCAUGGAACAAAAGUUUGAAAACUUAAUUCCAGCUUAUCAGUUAUUUCCUUCACUGCUGAAAAGUCCUCGCCUUGCCCAAGGUCACCUGCGUUUUCUCCUGAGUUUCUUCUAGAAACUUUAUAGAGUUUUGCACUUCAGGCCUAUGAUCCUUUUUGAGUCAGUCUUCAUGAGACGUGUGAGGUCUGCAUCAGGCUCGUUCAUUUUCCUAGGAGGACGUCCGGGUGUUCCAGCACAUUUGUUGCCAGAACUGCCCUUGCUCCAAUGCUUGCUUUCCUUCCUGUGUCAGAGGCGGACUGGCGGUGUUCAUGUGGGUCGACUGCUGGGUCCUCUUCUGUCCUAUUGAUGUGUGUGUGUUCUCCCCAACGCCACACUGUGUGAGUACUGGAGUAUUUCAGUACAUCUCCAAGUUAGGUAGGCAGUCCUCCCCUCCUCCCCUCCUCUUCAUCCUCACCCCUCCUCCUCCUCCUCCCCCUCCCUGCUGUGACUCCAGGCCACCUUUAACGCACACCAUUGUUGCUGGCUUUCCCCCUCUGCCUCUUGCCCAUGAGAAGCCAUCCACUGGCGCAGCAGGGUCGCUGGGGCGCACCUGAGUCCGGCAGGGUUGGGACCCGUAACCCUGUCCCAAGGAGGAGAUGCCGAUAAAAACAGUGGGACCCGUCCCGGUCCCUUUCCUAAAAGAGAGCGUCCCCGAUCGUCUCCAGGAUGACCCGUCUGUCUUCCUUCUACUGAAGUUUACGUCACAAACCCCAAGUGCACGACGCAGCAGAUUUUCACAGUGAGCACCGGGUGGGACCUGCGCUCGGGUCAGAAACGAGGCCGCCCGCGGACAGGACCCCGCGGCCUUUCCUCUGGCAUCGGCAGGUGCGGAGGCCCCGCAGAAACACCUGCCCCGUGUGUCUGGCAACAGUAGCCGGAAGCAGUGGGCUGGAAACGUCCCAGGGCCUUCAAACGAGUGGGGCGGCGCUUCUGCAGGAGAAGGGGCCGGGUCUGGGCCGGGUGGGCUCCAGCGACAGGUGUGCCGGGACUCUUCCCACCGGCCCUCGUUGCUGGUGACUCGGGCUGUGUCUACAUCACUUCACGUCCACCCUUAUUCCUGAGGAGUCCGUUCCAGAAAAACCGGUUAGAACCCAAGGAGGGGGUGCUCAGCGUCCCCGCAUGGGCACUUCCACGGGCGCUGGGAGCAGCCAGCCGCGAGCCCCUCUGUCAGACUGAGCAGAUGCUGCACAUUCGCCUGCUCUCCCCCGUGGAUUGUGGGUGGUUUCUGUGACACGUGCUCCUGCCCGGCUUGGGGUCCUUCGCCUCCGUCCCCACAGCCCCUCGCCGAGGCUCCUGCGGUGGGGGGGGGGGGGGGAAGCAGCCUUGUGUGAAGGCCCGUGUGGUGCUGGAAGCAGAAGAGCGGCUUCAGGGCCAUCUGCACGCGGUCUCAGGGGGAACAGAGCGCCAUGUCCCCGGAUUCCUAAUGCCGCGUGGCCUUGUGUCUCUGCAGCGGGGCGGCCCCAGGCCUCUUUGGGCCGCAGGACAAGCCCGGGGUCCGACGGCGGUGGGGAACUCGGACACCGCGUGAUCGGAGCCUGGAAAGAAAACCCCAGCCAGAUGCGGCCCGCCGAGCAGGAAACCCUGAAGUCUCCGACGGGAAACCACCGUCAGCGCUGACACACUCAGGAAGGCGGCAGGACACAAAUCAACAGGCAGACGUCACUUGCGUUUCGGAUUAAGGAAACGAUUCCUUUUAAAAUGGCGUCAAAAAGAGUAAGACAUUUAGAAACAAGUUAGGCCAACGAGACAGGAGACUUGUUCACGGGAACUACACCGUGUUACUGAACGACCACGGAAGGCGUUAAUACGCGGACAGAUGUCCCGCGUUCACGGCCGGGUGACGGGACGCCGCUAGGACGACAGUGUUCCCGAAAUGCUGGUUCCUCCGCAGGUUCACUGCCAUCACCCCCGAAGCCCUGGACACUUUUUUUGUAGAUACAGAAAAAUACAUUCCCAAUUUCAUGCGGCGUUUCAAGGGACCCGGAGUACCCAAAAUAAUUUUGACAAGGAGAAAGUUGGAGGACUCACGCUUCUUGAUUUCAAAAUUCACUGCAAAAUUACAGCAAUAGAAACAGUGUUGUUCUGGCAUAAAACACAAGUAGAGACGAGCGGAUUGGAGGAGAAAACCCAGAAAGAAGGCCGCAUACACUUGGUCAACUGAUUUCCAGCAAGAGUGCCAAAAACGGGGGAAAAGACAGGUUUUUCUUUAACAAAUGGUGUUGGGCAAACCGGACAUCCACACGUGCGCGGGAGAAAGAGGCUGGACCCUUACGUGACACCAUAUGCCCAAAUCAGCAGAAAUGGGGUCAAAUACCCAAGCGUAAGAGCUAAGACCGUAAGACUCUUAGAAGAACACACGGGAGAGAAGAUUCAGGACGGACGUCGCAUUUGUGGUGAUUUAUUGGCUCUAACACCCAAAGCACAGGCAACUAGAAAAGCAGAUAAAUUGGACUUUUACAAAAGGAAGCACUUUGGGGCAUCAGAGGGCCCCAUCAGGGGAGUUAAAGACAGCCCACAGAAUGGGAGAAAUGUCUCCCUCACCUGAUGAGGGGCUGACACCCAGGAUCUGUAAAAACUGCUCAGCGACAAAGGAACCAUCCCAUUAAAAAAUGGGCCAAGUCUGUCUCCAGAGACGACGCACAGAUGGCCGGUCAGCGCCCGACUGGAACUCCCCUCGCUCCUCACCAGGGGACACAGGACAAUCGCGAGGUCCCGCAACCAUCAGAAGCGCAGCACAGCGAGCGUCGGCCAGGACGUGACGCCCAGGUUGUGACGCCGAUGGCCGAGCGUGUUGCGGUGGGCGUGGGAGACAAGCAUCCCCCACGGAAACACAGGGGAGUCUCGGAAAGACCCAUGUGGCCCAGCGAUCCCACUCCUAGGGGUUUACGAGGUACUCGUGGUUCGUGAGCACGGCGGCCGCGAGGGACAAGUGACCCCCGUGUGGCCUCCCCAGCAUCGGCCCGCCCGGGGGAGACCACGGCCACCUGCGCCUGCUCGUGCGGUCAGCUCUGCGGCGGGGUCCCUUCCCCGACCCCGUCUCUCCCUGGGGGGCCGGCCUCCCGCCCCUGGCGAGCGGCCCAGCCCCAGGUCUUGAGAUCUGGCGCUUUGCAAAACUACGUUUCUCUGCAGACCAGAGGCGUUCCGCUCAAGCAGCAGACUCUCGUAAUGGCUCAUCUUGGGAUCUGAGCAGAUAAUCCUUCACGGGAGCCUGUGGAGGGGAAGUUAAGGCAAAAAGUUACUGCAUUUCUGGGCUCCUCUUGCCAAAGGCACGAGGCCCUGCUUCUUAUUGGUUUCCCGCGGGCAGGUUUAUUAUUGCGCUUCCUCUUUACUGCUGGUCUCAGUGGAACCAGGGCAGUUUGAGGGGAGAGUCAGAUUCCCCACCUCCGUGCCGUGUCGUCCUUCCACAUCGCGCAGCAAUGCGGAGCCUCGGGUGGCAGAGGGCCGUCGGGACACAGGACAGGGCAGCCAGGCGGGGCGGUGGGGACCAGAGCUUGCGCCCCCCCUACCCCCACCCCCACCCUGAGGGGACCCUGGUGGUUGCCCGGUGGACGGAGUCCAGCGUUGACGAGCCCGCGACCGUUCAAGAGCGUCCAGGUGUGGCACCCUCAGGUGAGAGCUCGGGUGUGUCCAGGUGGCUCUCGUGCAGCACACCCUCUGUCGCCCCGGAUCCACUGUCCCCCGUGUUCACCCCACUCCCUCCCCGCGCCUUGACCUGCGGGCCGUGUGGCCGGGGCUCCCACAUCCUGCCUUGUGGUCAGGCCCCACCCGCGGGAGCUCCCAGAGCUGCGGGUGGGGAGAGAGGUGUGUCUACACUGGCCUGCUACGUCUACCAGAUACGCCUUGUGUCCCCAUGCUGACCAGGGAAGUGUCACUUAUUCCCCAGGUUUGUCUGCCCUGUCCUAGGAUGUCUCUCACGUUUCCAAGGUGUGUGUUAGAACCUGGAACGUCCCUCAGAACUCUGGUGUUUCUACUGUGAACCGUGAUAGCUCCCUCUCUCCCGACUGUGUCUCACCUGACCCGGUGUAUCUGCUCAUAGUUCAGGUACGUCUAUACUGACCUGACAGAGGAUGUUUCAGUGACCCAUGUUUACCAUUACCUGGCUCCCCUCACCUGGCAGGUGUUCAGCUCUCCCCAGCUGUGGCUACCUUCACCUUGUAUGUUUUCUCCAAGCCCGUGUGUGUCUCCACGACCAGGGACGCCUCCCUCGUGCCCCGGGUGUGUCCGUACUAAGCGGGAGCAUCUCCGGUGUGACUGUCGUGUCUAGUGUUGCCCGAGACGUGCACCUCAUUCCCCAGGUUGGUCUUAGUGGAAGGUUCCUCGUUUCCCAGGGCUGGCUGCCUCAUCUUGGGUAUCUGCCUGGUUGCACAGGUGAGUCUACAUGACCUGCGGCGUCUCCCGAUAUCCCUGGCCACGUCUGCCCUGACUUGGUAGGUCGUAUCUACUAGGUGUGUGUGUCCUGACGGGAUGUCUGCCUGUCACAGGUGUUGAUCUCCUGACCUGGGAUGUCUCCCUAGUCCUGAAGUGUGUCUACACCAUGCUGGGAUACCUCCCUUUAUCUGCACUUGGGUCUACACUGACCAGCAGUGCUUUAAUAGCUUAAGUGCCCACCAUAACCUGGUAUGUCUGCCUGAUAUCCCACUGUGUCCACACUGACCUGGAAGGUCUCUGUAACAGGCAUGUCAGAGCAGCUCUGGGACAUGGGUUCUCCAGGUGUUUACUCUGACCUGCGACGUUUUCUGUUGCCCCCUCGUGCAUAGACCCUGACCAUGACUCCUGAAUUCAUCAAAUGCCAGUGUACUCAUUUGAUCUUUUUAGUUGGUUAAAUUCAGUAUUUUUAUAAGCCAAUGUGCACCUUUCAUGAUGGGUUUCAAUUUUUUGCGCGUUGUUUAUACAAGCAAAACCUGUAUUAGACUCUUUACUCUCUGAAUAAGACUGGUACUGCUAAGGGAGGGAAUGAGCUAACUACUGCACAAACACUUACUGUAACUGUAGAUAUUCUGCGAUAGAGAAAGUCACUUCUAUGGAGUUCCAGUGAGAUACAGCUGGAGAAUAGUGAAAACCUAACUUGUAAAGGUAGACACCCCAGGGGAACAGAGUCCACCUCCCUGCUAGGACCAGCAACACUGGAGUGUGGAGGGAGUCCUCGCUCAGGCCAGACACCAUCCUGGGUCACGGAGACGUCACAAGCCUGGAGAAUUGGAGUGACAACCCAGGUCGGGAAAGAUGCCCUUCCAGGCACGUGCGCACACACCUGACUUACUAGGGAGGCCUCAGUGCUUACGGCCUGAACCUGUCUCCCUGAUCAGGGUAGACAGAACUGGGGGGUUAGGGACACUUCCCGGGUCCAUGCAGAAAUAGUUGAGGAAUCAAGGUGACGUCCUCGAUCAUGGUAGCUCCCCCUGGGGAACGAGAGCAUCACGUUAGAAUUGGGAGACACCCCACGUCAGAGUUGAACUACCCGAGGAAGCACUCACUACACGUCCCAUUAGACUUUGUGUCGUGUAAAGAGGCGCCCUGGUAGCCAGAGUGACAAGGGAGACGUCAGGGUGGACGUCCCGCCAGAUCAGCGUGGACAUGCCUGGGGAACUGGGGAACGUCCAGGUCUGGUUAGACAGGGGACUAGACAUCACAGGUCAGUGUAGAUACACCUGGAAAAUGAGGAACACACCCCAGGUCAGGAUAGGCAUACCCUGAGGAUUUAGAAAGUCGUCCUUGUUCGGUGUAGACUCGUCUGCAUAAUCAGAUAUCCCAGCUAUAAACAGCCACACCUCAGCAGUUAGCUGAGAUUAAGGUGGGUGCACCUGGGGAACAGGGAGGUAAACCAUGUCAGCGUAACACGUGGGGUAUUAGGUAGACACAGCAGGUCAAGUGCGGACACCAGGGGGGAUGAGGGGAACAUCCUGGGCUAGUGUAGACGUAACUGGAGUAUCAGAAAGGCAUUCAGAGCAUCAUGGCAGUGUAAGACAUCCCUGCUUUGUGUCUCCCUUUUUGAAUAACUCGUCAGGCAUCCAUCUGUGAACACAAGUGCCUCUGGGAUCCAGCCCCAUAUGCCAAAGGAUCUGGGAAGAGCGUCACCCAACCGUGUACCUGGAAACAGGUAGACAGACCUCUGAGGGGCUGCAAACCAGCGGGAGCCCUCUUGCCGCUAGCGGGGAAGCCUCGAGCGUUCUGACUCGGACAGAAACGCACAGACAAGGAAGGCCGGGGUGGGGGUGGGGUCCAAGCUGCCCCAGGGGCGGCUCCAGCACAUCCCCGGAGUCUCGAUGCACUGGAAAUAGAGGAACUUGGCCGGUGCCACCCCUCCCCAAAGGUGACGCCACGUGGGGCUCAACGAGCAACAGCAGCCUCUCCCACGGUGGGAGGGAGCACCGGGAGUGCCGGCUUCCCCAGCUGUGUGGGGGCUGCAGGAGAACCCCAUUUCUCUCCAGCAGCACCCAGAGUACUGAGGGACGUCCAUGACUCCGGGGGAGAGAGGAUCAGCAGACAGACAGAUGAGAAUAUUAGCACUGAAGUCCAAAUGUGAGCUUCUGGAAGAACCCUACCUGAGGAUCUACCACACCUAGAGUACUGAGCCCACACCUGCCCAGUCUGCCCCCGUGGGCAGAGGACGCACCACACAAGUGUCUGUGGGGCCACCUUCCGGGAAAUGAGGUGAGUUCUCCAGACCAGAGAAGGCCUACAAGCUCAAGAAUUCUGCUACAGGACAGGGCAGGAAGCAAGGACAGGGAUGUCCACACAAGGACAGAAAAAGCCCAGACCCGACAGGCUCGACUAACAGCAUCUCCCACCUGAAAGGGAUCACAAAGACUGAGGCGAUGUCCGCCACUCCUACACCAGAGCAGCACCGCAAAAGUACAACGAACGUGAGUGAAGAAUCAAGGAACGCAUCGUCACCAUAAGGCAACAGUAACCCUCCAACAACCCAACACAAAGGCUGAAGUUUGUGACCCAGCUGAUAAGGGGCCCAAAGAAAACACACAAGAGACAAUUUAACAAAAAUCAGAAAAGCUGUAUGUGCAUGAACAAAAUGAGAAAUUUAACAAUGAGAAAUCACAAAAAGCUGGGAGUAAAGAAUUCAGUGAAUGGGAUGAAAAAUGUAAUAGAGGGCACUCACAGCAGAGUGUGUAAAAUGAAAGACGGAAUCAGUGAGCUACAGGAUAGGAACUUGAAAUAACCCAAUCGGGAUCACAAAGAAUUAAAAAGCAUUACAAAAGCCUAGAAGAUCCAUGCGACUCCAUCAAAAGUACAAGUAUCAGAAAAAUUGCAUUCUGGAAAGAGAAAAGGAGCAGGGAGUUUAAGAAAUAAUGGCUGAAACGUCCCAGACCUGGGGAGACACUUGGGCAGCCAAGUUCAGGAAGCCGAUAGACCACCCUCCUAUCCCGGUGCCAACAGGCCUUCCCCAAAACACACUCACCAUGACAAAACUGUCAAAAAUCCAAGACAGAGAAUCUGAAAAGCAUGCAGAGAAUAUUGUAAUCUACAAAGGAACCCUCACUGGGUAGUCAGUGCAUUUCUCAGCAGAAAGCCUAUAGGCCAGGAGAGAGUGGAUGAUAAUUCAAAGUGCUGUAGGAAAAAAACUGCCUGCCAAGAAUAUCUGGUAAAGUUAUCCUUCAGAAAUGAAGAAAUAGACACUUUUCCAACAAAAGCUGAGUUCAUCGCACUAGACCCUCCUUACAAGAAAUGCUGAGAAGAGUUAUUCCAGCUGAGGUGAAGGGACAUUAAUCAGUGACACGACACACGAGUCAGAUUGCGACGGUAGAUUAGCCACUUUGCUGGAACAUAAAGGUCCAGGCGAAAGAAUAUAAAAAUUACAGCUACUAUGAUUAAUACACAAUACAAAAGAGAAAAACUGUGACAUCAACAAUAUACAAGUGGUAAAGAGUGAGGAUUCUGUGUGUGGAGUCACUGUCAACUUCAAAUGGGCUGUUUUAUCUGAGAUAGAUCAUGUCAGCCUCCUGGUAACCACAGAGCAAAAUUCUGAAGUAGAGGCACAAAAGAGCCAAGGGAAAAGAGAGCAGACCACCACAGAAAAUCGAGAUACAAAACUGGGCAGAAACAGCACAGGGAAAAUUGAAGUGCGAAACAACCAGGAAACAGGUAAUAAGGGCUUCCUAUAGCCACUCUGUUACCAGUAAUCACACUAAAUACAAAUGGACUGAAUUCUCCAAUCGACACACAGUGGUUGAAUGGAUUUCUGAAAAGAGCCAACUGCAUGCUGGCUGUAAGAGACUUGCUUCAGGUUUAAGGACACACAUAGGCUCAAAGUCAAGGGACAGAAGAUGGUAUUUCAUGAGGGUGUAAUCCAAAAGAAAGCAAGGGUAUUUACAUCAGAGAAAAUAGAUUUUGAGCCAAAAACAGUAACAAAAGAGGUCAUUACAUAAUGAUAAAGGGAGUUUAUCAAGAAUAUGACAGUCAAACAUACACACGUUAAAGCACCUAAAUAUAUUAAGCAAAUGCUAACAGAUCUGAAAGGGAAAAAAAGACAACACAAUAAUAGACUCUAAUAGCCCUCUUUCGGCCAUGGAUAUAGAUCAUCCAGACAGAAAAUCAACAAGGAGACAUUGGACUUGAACCAUACAUUAGACCAAAUGGACCUAAUAGACAUUUAUAGAACAUUCUACCUACAGCAGCAGAAUGCACAUUGUUCCCUAAUACACACAUUCUCCAGGACAGAUCAUAUGACAGGCUGCAAAAUGAAUCCUAGCAAAUUUAAGAAGACAAAUUAUAAUCAUCUCUUCUCACUGAAAUGGUACAAAACUGGAAAUCAACACAAAGAGUAAAGCUGGGAAAUCUACAAAUGUGUAAACUAAACAUCACAUUCCUGAACAAUGAAUGGGUCAAAGAAGAAAUCAAUAGGAAAUUAAAAUACCUGCAAACAAAUGACAACAGAAACAUAAUGCACCAAAACCCACGGGAUUCUCCAAAACAAGCUCUGAGAGGGAGGUUUAUAGUAACUAGUGCAAACGUUAAAAUAAAAGCACCUUAAAUAAACAAUGUAACUUUAUGCUUCAAGGAACUAGAAAGGUAAGAACUAAACCCAAAGUCUGCAUAGGGAAGGAAGUAGAUUCUCCAAGAUCAGAGCUGAAACAAAUGAAAUAGAGACCAGAAAAGCAACAGACAAGAUCAAUGACACUAGGAGCUGGGUUUCUGGAAAGAUAAACUUGACAAACCUUUAGCUAGACUAAGAAAAGAAGACUCAAAAUCAGAAAUGAAAGAGAAGGUAUUGCAACUGAUACGACAGAAAUGCAGUAGUCUCAUAAGAGACUACUACCAAGCCUGGAUCAGGAAGAAAUAGAAAAUUUGAAUAGGCCAAUAAUGAGUCAGGAGAUUGAAUCAACAACCAAAAACCUCUCAACACAGAAAACCCCGGGACCAGGUGGCUUCACUGCUGAAAUCUACCAAACGUUUACAGAAGAAUUAAUGCUGUUCCUCCCCCAACACAGUCCCAAAAACUGAAGAGGAGGGGACACUUCCAAACUUAUUUUACAAGGCAAGCAUUACCCCGACAGUAGGUUGACAAAAUAUUAGUAAACUAAGUUCAACACCUAAGACCAGUUAUAUAAUACCACAAGCAACAGACUUAUCCGUGAGAUGCGGGGGUGGUUCAACAUACACUAAGUGAUACAUGUGAGAGUAAAAGAAAAAAAUUCCUAUCAUCUCAGUUAAUGCAGAAUAAGCAUUCAACAGACUAUACCUUUGAUGAUAAAACCUGUUAACAAGUCAUGUGCAGAAGGAACACACUUCAACAUAAUUAAGCUGGUUAACAACGAGCCCACAGCGAACCUCAUACCCAGAAGAAACACUUUGAGUCUUUCACCAUCAAGCUCGGGAACAA